RNAcentral lists this long non-coding RNA (307 nucleotides) under Octopus vulgaris (common octopus). Lineage: Eukaryota; Metazoa; Mollusca; Cephalopoda; Octopoda; Octopodidae. The record is from RNAcentral.
UAUAGACACACACACUAACAUACACAGAAACAUUUAUCUAUGUACAUUUAUAGAGCCUAUGGAUGAGUUGUCCUUGGACAAUCUAGCUGAGACAGUAACUCCAUGGUCCUCAUGAUCCACCUAACCCAUGCCCGUUAUGCAAGAGGAGAUGUAAAAAUAGUAAUGAAGAUGACAGCUACAGCACAUAUUUGUGCAAAGUAUGGUUGUGCAAGGGUUUAUGCAUAUCUGCAUGUGUGCAUGUGCAUGUAUUAUAUAUAUGCAUGCAAAUAUCAUAUAUGUAUGUAUAUAUAUGCAUAUAAACGUGUAU